UGGGGAAUAUUGGACAAUGGGCGCAAGCCUGAUCCAGCCAUGCCGCGUGGAUGAAGAAGGCCCUAGGGUUGUAAAGUCCUUUCGGUGGUGAAGAUAAUGACGGUAACCACAGAAGAAGCCCCGGCUAAUUUCGUGCCAGCAGCCGCGGUAAUACGAAGGGAGCUAGCGUUGUUCGGAAUCACUGGACGUAAAGCGCACGUAGGUGGGCAGUUAAGUCAGGGGUGAAAGCCCGAGGCUCAACCUCGGAAUUGCCUCUGAUACUGGCUGUCUAGAGUUCGAGAGAGGUGAGUGGAAUUCCUAGUGUAGAGGUGAAAUUCGUAGAUAUUAGGAAGAACACCGGUGGCGAAGGCGGCUCACUGGCUCGAUACUGACACUGAGGUGCGAAAGCGUGGGGAGCAAACAGGAUUAGAUACCCAGGUAGUCCCUGAGCGGGCUGGCAAGGCGCAU
This 447-nucleotide ribosomal RNA is filed under the name uncultured bacterium. RNAcentral describes it as "bacterial SSU rRNA". It matches the Rfam family "Bacterial small subunit ribosomal RNA", at positions 355 to 825 of the family's 1533-position model. The record is from RNAcentral.